UUGUUGCAGUGGUAACUCCUGCUGAUGAUUAACACUUUGGACUGGAGCCUUGGUUCUCCAUUCUUGAAUCACUUUAGUCUUCUUCAGUUGAGGAGGCUGGUGUGGUUUUUGAUUCAGCAAGCAGUUAUGCCCAACCAUUAGACAUUUCCCACAGUAAGAUGGUUUCCAGUCAUAAACCACUUCUUGUAGAAAUUUCCUCCCAUUAGCAUCCA
Molecule: long non-coding RNA, 212 nt
Filed under: Nicotiana benthamiana
Lineage: Eukaryota; Viridiplantae; Streptophyta; Magnoliopsida; Solanales; Solanaceae
Description: long non-coding RNA (NBEN_LNC026673)
Source: RNAcentral